AUUAUUUUAAAAAAACGUUGACAUUAAGUUAACAUUUAUGGUAUAUUUAAUAGGUAGUCGUCAUUAAUAAUAUUAACGCGGGAUGGAGCAGUUCGG
Molecule: non-coding RNA, 96 nt
Filed under: Staphylococcus xylosus
Lineage: Bacteria; Bacillati; Bacillota; Bacilli; Caryophanales; Staphylococcaceae
Description: Staphylococcus sRNA 774
Rfam family: Staphylococcus sRNA 774
About the family: Northern blot transcript confirmed in exponentially growing and stationary cells in three cultivation media. Trans-encoded.
Source: RNAcentral